UAUCAGCUCCCAUAUACCUUUUAUAUGGGCUCAAGAAAAAAAAAAAAAAAAAGAGAGAGCCUAAGUCCACCUUAUGCUUCUGAUUUGUUCCGUAGGGAUUUUAGUUUCAUUCAUUUAUGGUAAACUUGUGAUUUUAGUUUUAUCACAUGUGCAAUAGAAUCUAAUUGAUGUUAGUUAAUGUACCGUGUGGAGGUCACACAGACGCCUAAAUACCAAGACGGUCCCAACGGCCUUAGGAGACAGGAAUGCAUUAGAGCGACUGAACGCAGCAGAAUCAACAAGAUCAGAUUACCAUAGACAGAACGCCUGGUUCCAGUCAACAAUCAUGUUUCCAUAUAAAGAUUAAAAUAAUUAGUGACUAAAGAUAUUGGAUUGAGAUUGAAUCGUGAUUAAGAUUUCAUUAAUCUCAAGUUCAUGCCGAAAAUUAUAAAUACAGGUCAGAGGUAAGAGGUACACCUCCGAACGGUGGAGUAAAAACGAAUACUUAAAACAACUAUCAAACGACUUUCCAAGAGAAAUUGUGCAGGAUGCAAUGAAUGAGAGUAUGAGGAGAAGAACUCCGACCGCAGCACUAGCAAUCCAUAUUCUCCUCUUCUUGCCU
Vigna angularis (adzuki bean) is the source of this 601-nucleotide long non-coding RNA. RefSeq lists it as uncharacterized. Lineage: Eukaryota; Viridiplantae; Streptophyta; Magnoliopsida; Fabales; Fabaceae. The transcript is spliced from 3 exons. The record is from RefSeq and is a predicted model, not a curated record.